UGUCGGGGUGUAACCUAAGGUUAUUUACCCAUCUAAUGUCAGUUAUCUCAAUGUUGUAUUGUCAUUGGUUGUUGUGCUGACGAGCCAGUCAAUGUCACUCUUCUCUGUUAUGGGGGCGGGACGAGUGGUAAAGUUUGUGUGAAUCUGUGGGAGCGGACACAGAAGCUAAGUCCGAAGAGAGAGAUGUCGUAAGGCAAACGUGGUGUGGAUUUUGCAUCUAAGUGUAUCAUUGAGGUCGACUACCCGUGGUCCUGAUAUUACUUAUUUGUGAUCUGCAAGAGAAGCCGAUGGACGCUCUGAAAGGAGAGGGAGAGAGAGGUUUUGCCCGGAUGGACCCUGCUGUUUUCUCACCCCUGGCUGUUUUCUCACCCCUGGCUGUUUUCUCACCCCUGGCUGUUUUCUCACCCCUGGCUGUUUUCUCACCCCUGGCUGUUUUCUUACCCCUGACUGUCUUCACUACUGGUGAACUAACUGCCCGUUUCUGAUUGCCCCACUAACAAACUCAUUGGACUCGUGAGUACUAACUGGAACUAAAGUGUACGUAUUUUGUUUUAUGGCUCAGUUUGAGUGAAGCGGCCAUCAGUUGUAGGCCUCACCGCACCCGAACUUUGAAUCAGGCCUGCAACAAGCACCGUGCUACAGGUGUAGUGUGGACAGGUUAAAGUGUGUGUGUGUGUGUGUGUGUGUGUGCACA
Haplochromis burtoni (Burton's mouthbrooder) is the source of this 694-nucleotide long non-coding RNA. RefSeq lists it as uncharacterized. The transcript has 3 exons. NCBI's taxonomy places the organism in Eukaryota, Metazoa, Chordata, Actinopteri, Cichliformes, Cichlidae. The record is from RefSeq and is a predicted model, not a curated record.